Molecule: ribosomal RNA, 499 nt
Filed under: uncultured bacterium
Lineage: Bacteria
Description: partial 16S ribosomal RNA
Rfam family: Bacterial small subunit ribosomal RNA
Source: RNAcentral
GACGAACGCUGGCGGCGUGCCUAAUACAUGCAGGUCGAGCGGACCAAACAGGAGCUUGCUCUUGUUUGGUUAGCGGCGGACGGGUGAGUAACACGUGGGUAACCUGCCCGUAAGACUGGGAUAACUCCGGGAAACCGGAGCUAAUACCGGAUAACACCGAAGACCGCAUGGUCUUUGGUUGAAAGGCGGCUUCGGCUGCCACUUACGGAUGGGCCCGCGGCGCAUUAGCUAGUUGGUGAGGUAACGGCUCACCAAGGCGACGAUGCGUAGCCGGCCUGAGAGGGUGACCGGCCACACUGGGACUGAGACGCGGCCCAGACUCCUACGGGAGGCAGCAGUAGGGAAUCUUCCGCAAUGGACGAAAGUCUGACGGAGCGACGCCGCGUGAGCGAAGAAGGUCUUCGGAUCGUAAAGCUCUGUUGUUAGGGAAGAAGAAGCGCCGUUCGAACAGGGCGGCGCGGUGACGGUACCUAACGAGAAAGCCCCGGCUAACUACGUG